AAUUAUAUUAUUUCUAAUGGUUUCCUUAGUAGAAAUUAUACUAACAUUAUUGUUGCUCCUAGUAUGGCAGAAUUUGUAAUUCUUAAAGCUUUUUAUGUGAAGAUUCACCCUCCUCCUAAGACUCCUAAAAUCAAAAAGAUCUCGUGGUAUCAUCCUUUAACUUCUUGAACUAAAUGCAACUCAUAUGAAGCUGGUAGUCUUGGCAAUGUAGUACGUGGUGG
Molecule: long non-coding RNA, 221 nt
Filed under: Trifolium pratense (red clover)
Lineage: Eukaryota; Viridiplantae; Streptophyta; Magnoliopsida; Fabales; Fabaceae
Description: long non-coding RNA (TPRA_LNC002143)
Source: RNAcentral